UUUUAACAAAAUAAUAAUAAAUUCCAAGAAAUAAUUAAAAAAUAAUUUGAAAUAUUCUAAUGAAAAACCAUUUACCUGUUUUUUAAAAGGUACAAAUAACUUUUUUGACCUGUAAAUUUAGGUAUAUGUUGUACCUACAUACCUACAUUGCUAAUUGAAGUCCAAGAACAAUUAACUACUACAUUAUAAAUCAAAUUCAAAAACUAAAAUCAGGGGGCCAAAAGAUGCGGUCAAAAAGAGUGGAACAUAAAUAAAAUCUUCGACAAUUCACAACUAUCAGCACCAGAGGUUAAUACGAAACUCGAAAAAAUCAUUAAUCUUAGAACAAAAUGUCGGACGGAGGAUGUGAUACGACUUGUUGUGAUAGCGGUGGAGGUUUUGACAGUGGUGGCGCAUGUGACACGGUUUGCGGCGAUAGUGGCGGAGGUGGUGGUGAAAGUGGUACUUGUCAUACAUCCGAUAAUACUGUUAACGAUAAUAGCGCCACAUAUGAUAUUGCCAAUAGUAAUGAUCCAAGUAUUUUUCAUAAUUUCCACCAUGAUCCCACAUUCGGUGUUGCAUCAAAUAAUUUUGAUGAUAGUUAUCAUAAUUUCAAUAAUAAUUCAGAAAACGUUAAUAAUAAAACAAAUAAAUCGUCUUGCUGGGGUUGUUGUUUUGGAGCGUUUAUUUUUAUAUUUUUAUUAGUCAUUGGAUUCAUUAUGAUUAACACUUUAUAACCCAUGUUUUCAGAUUUUUUUUAGAUAAAAAUAAUAUUAAAAAAUUGUAAUUGUUGUUUUAUUCACAAUUUUUUAUUCAUUUUAUGAUUGUAGAAAAAAAUUUAUUGAUCUAAAAUUUUAGUAACAUUUGUAACGUUAAUUUAGUUUAAUAAAAACAAAUAUCUGGCAACUUUUUGUAUGUUGCAUUGGCUAAGUGUUAUUAUUCAUUACACAUGACAUUUUUCUUAAAAUCUCUUCUUCCUCUCUCUUCGGAAAUUUAUUUCAUAUAAACAAGUUACAUAUAAUAUUAAUAAUCAAGUCCCUAUAACCAACGUUCGAUUGAAUUCAAUUUGUUUGUUAGUUUCAUAGUAAAACUUUUGUUCGAUCAGUUGUUUGCAAUCAGUCGCCAAACUUAUUAAAACUCAUGUUCGAGAUUCAUUUUUUGUAAAACAUUAGUUAGAAAAACAUAAUAACCAAUCAAAAUGUCAGAUUGUGGAUGCGAUAGUGGUGGAGGAUUUGAUAGUGGCGGUUGUGAUGACGGUGGAGGAUUUGACAGCGGUAUUUGUCAUACGUCAGAUCAUACAUCUUAUGAUAUGACCACCAAUAAUGAUUCAAAUUUUUUCCAUAAUUAUCACAAUGAUUCCUCUUACGACCAUUCAUUCGAUAAUAGUAAUUCUAACAAUAGUAAAUCACAGGAAUCACAAUGCUGUUCAAAUUUUGCGUAUGGAAUAUUUUGCUUGACGUGGUUUACCGCUUUUAUAUUUAUUUUAUAUAAAAUAUUCGCAAUGUGAUAUUGUGGAAAUUGGUUUUAUAAAGGAACAUUAAAAAUAAGUUUAAAUGUUUUAGUUUUUUACCACCUUAAGAAUUCAUUAUUGAAAUUAAUAAAUAUUAAAAUAAUGCAUCAUA
This 1601-nucleotide unclassified non-coding RNA is filed under the name Lucilia cuprina (Australian sheep blowfly). RNAcentral describes it as "uncharacterized LOC111684863, transcript variant X1". The record is from RNAcentral. Lineage: Eukaryota; Metazoa; Arthropoda; Insecta; Diptera; Calliphoridae.